GUUGUUCACGACAUGUCAGGACAAGGAGAGUAAUUAUAUACACCAGGCUUCCUUUUACAGAGUCAGUGACGAUGCUGAAGGAUUUUCUGCUUGUUAUAAUAAUUGCAAUCGAAGUAAAGGGUGAGGCGUGUCCCUUGGGUACAUAUGGUGAAACCUGUAACAAAAACUGCAGUACUAACUGUGCCCCUUCUGCUUCUGACAAGGCCGUCUACUGUCACAAACUGACUGGAAAAUGUUCGGAAGGAUGCAAUAGAGGCUGGCAUGGGGACCAGUGUAAUCUGGGGUGUAGCAAGAACUGCCUCAACGAUGUCUGUGAAGUACAAGCUGGAACUUGCAUAAAAUGUAAAACGAACUAUUCAGGGGAUUAUUGUGAGACAUACAAAG
Long non-coding RNA from Haliotis rubra (blacklip abalone), 384 nucleotides. RefSeq lists it as uncharacterized. The transcript has 3 exons. NCBI's taxonomy places the organism in Eukaryota, Metazoa, Mollusca, Gastropoda, Lepetellida, Haliotidae. The record is from RefSeq and is a predicted model, not a curated record.